This 283-nucleotide non-coding RNA is filed under the name Pasteurellaceae bacterium I13. Lineage: Bacteria; Pseudomonadati; Pseudomonadota; Gammaproteobacteria; Pasteurellales; Pasteurellaceae. The record is from RNAcentral.
CUGUCGCGGACAAUCAUUCAUCUAGGCGACGAAUUGCUUCGCCGCUCAAGCAACCUACCCGAACUCUGAGCGGGCACACCCAUUGAGUUCCUAUUUGGUCUUGCUACGAGUGGAGUUUACACCUGCCGCGGAAUGUUACCAUCCGCGCGGUGCGCUCUUACCGCACCCUUUCACCCUUACCUUUCCGAAAAAAGGCGGUCUGCUCUCUGUUGCACUUGUCGUAGGCUCGCGCCUCCCGGACGUUAUCCGGCACUCUGCCCUAUGUAGCCCGGACUUUCCUCCC